AUUUACUGGGUUCAUUCAGCCUAGCACACUCUGCUGCUUAGGCAGGCAGGAAGCAGAGGAGGGAAAGAGUGGUCAUUAGGCUGCUUGCUGUAACAGACUUCUUAAAACUGAAGCAACCCUCAGGGCAUGUGGAAGGCAUGGUGAUAUUCUUCUACAAUAGCAACUGGCAGCAACAGGUUGACCAGGGAGCCACAGUCAAGGAGACUAACUUGAAAUGGGCCAGUUUUAACUGGGCGAAGGUGGAUGUGCAGUGACAGGAGAAUGAAGGGAUCGUCAGCACAAGGUACAGGCCAGCCUGAUGACAAGUGAGACAGCAGUGUGUUAACGUUCGCGUGCAUGGCCCCAUAUACAAACAAGGAGCAUAAUGGAGAGGAAAUCUCUGAACAUCUGCUUAUGCUGGUUCACUCUGAAGAAGGGCAACUUUGCCUCUCCAAAGACUUUCAGUUGAACUGUAAUGACCUGGUGUAUGGGCCCUGAAACAUAUGCUUGGAAAGGAUAGACAAAUCGGGAGCAAAGGAGCCAAAGGCAGCUAUCAGAGUUGGAAGGUUUUAGAGCCUUGGAACCAUGGACACAGUCACGGAUAAUAGCAUGGAGCCCAGGUGGCCCAAAAGGUUCACUCCAGUCUGAAACCCACCAGAUGUGGUCUUGGAACAAUUUCAUGCCGGAUUACUGCCUAUGUGAGACACCAAUGUAGGCAAAAAAAAAGACCUUGAAGUUAUCAGGAAAGGUAGGGCUCAACUUGUGCCUGAAGUGAGAGUUGGAUUUAAAGAUAGGUGAAAAACAGGAAGGAAUCACUGGAAGCAAGAAUGGAGAUCUCACAGUGAGUUUUGGAGGCCAGGGGAGAGCCUGCAACCUGUGGGUAUUUUUUCUUGCCUAAAGGCUUUCCCAUUUCACCACAGAAAUUGCAUAUGGUAGUGUUGUUGGGGAGCCCAUUCAACAGACUUAUGGAAAAAUCUAUAGAAUCAUUCUAUUGCAAAUUACUCAGUUGCCAGAACUCCUUUCUAGAACAAAGUGGAAUAGAAAUGCAUAAACAGGCCUCUGGGUCACCCCGCAGAAAGACUGGCGUUCAGGGCAGCAUCAAGUCACUGACUUCCCUCAAAGGAGAAGCAGCAAGCUGGCGUGGGACUACGGACCCUGGGGGAGAGCUGGAGGAGAGGUCCUCAAGAUGUCAUCGCUAGGCUACCCAGUGCCUACCCCACAUCAGAAUUCCCCGGAAUGUCAGAUGAAAGGAAAACUUCAGUGCCCAUCAGAUAAGUUUCUCAAAGGAGAAGUCAAUGAAGAGCUAUAAGAUGAAUGCUCUGGACUAAUUGGAUGAAAUAAAAUAUGUGCAGCAGCAUGCUUCUCCAGAGUCUGCAAAGGUAUUCUGCACUUAAAAGCAAAUAUUCAGUGCUCCGCAUGCAUUUAAAAUAUGAACAAUUACUAUAGAAGAAUGUUUAAUUUUUAUGUCAUGAGAUUUUGUAAUAUUUUAUACUUUAAAAAUGUUUACAGGAUUUUUAAAAUAAUUUGAUUGUUUGAAUCACUAAAAAAUGAACUGAAACACAAAAAUUGUAUCUAUGAUUUGUAAAUAAUAGUGGAAAAUAUUUUUUCCUAAAUGUUGAUGUUAACUACUUCAUUCUUGUAAUUUGUGAAUGUCCUUGUUUGUCCUCUAAUUUGUCAUUAAAUAUUGGAAUUCCUCUUUAAGCUAUAUAAUUGUAAAUAAGAGAAUUCUCCCUAAAAUCAAAAGGAUGCCCUUGACUAUUUUAUUGCUGGUUCUGAUAUGUUCACAACUGUAGACUGUAUCAGUUUAGUUCAGUUGCUCAGUCGUGUCCGACCCUUUGCAACGCCAUGGACUGCAGCACGCCAGGCCUCCCAGUCCAUCACCAAUUCCCGGAGCUUGAGUAAACUCAUGUCCAUUGAGUUGGUGAUGCCAUCCAACCAUCUCAGCCUCUGUUGUCCCCUUCUCCUCCCGCCUUCGAUCUUUCCCAGCAUCAGGGGAGACUGUAUAGCACAGUCUUAACAUUGUAAAUCUUACUGACAUUUCAGCAUUUUCAUGUUAAUUGGUCUGGUAAGCGCUUUUGAUACAACAGAUUCUACUUAUAAACUGAUCAAAAUAUGCUUUAAUAAAAGCCUUCUGGGGUUUCCCUGGUGGCCUGGCAGGUAAGAAUCCGCCUGCCAAUGCAGGAGACAUGGGUUCCAUCCCUGAUCCAGGAAGAUCCCACAAGCGGAGGAGCAGCUAAGUGUGUGCGCGCCACGACUACUGAGCCUGUGUUCCACAACAAGAGAAGCCACCGCAAUGAGAAGCUCACGCACGGCAACUAGAGUAGCCCCUGCUUUUCCCAACUAGGGAAAAGCCCGAGCAGUAACAAAGACCCAGAACUGCCAAUAAAAAAUAAGAUUAAAAAAAACUUUCUGGCAUAUUUUUUCCUUAUUCAUUUUCUUCUCAUGAUGAUUGACAGAUAUUCUAAGAAGUAAAGAAGUGUAGGUAUUGCUUUACCAUCUAUACGCUAUCACAUAUAUAUUUUUUAAAAGCAUAGUCACUUAGUCGUGUCCGACUCUUUGCGACCCCAUGGACUGCAGUCCGCCAGGCUCCUCUGCUCAUGGGAUUCUCCAGGCAAGAAUACUGGAGUGGGGUGCCAGUCCCUUCUCCAGGGGAUCUUCCCAACCCAGGGAUCAAACCUGGGUCUCUCCCAUUACAGGCCGAUUCUUUACCAUCUGAGCCACAGGGAAUAUUUUUAAGUCACUCUUUAUUGUCAGGUCCUUAAUACCUUAAGGGUACUACAUAGAAUAUUCAAUUAAUUCCUACCAGAACCAAGUAUGUUAGGCAUUAACGGGCCCUUUGUGUAGAAACAGAGACACAGGCUCAGAAAGGCAUUUUAAUUGCCUGCAUCUCAACAAAGCCAGAAGUGACGGUAGAACCAGAAUUUAAACCUACGUUGGCCUGACUUCAAAAAGUGUAUUCCUUCAAAUAAAGCAGUUAAUAAUAAAAUGAUACCAAAAACUGGCAAAUACAAAAAGUACUUAAAUAUUUUUAUUUAAAUAAGAAAAUUUAUAUAACAUGCAGAGGAUAGUACAGGCAGGCAUACCUCAGAGAUAUUGUGGGUUAAGUUCCAGAUCACCAAACUAACGUGAAUAUCAAAAUAGAGUGAGUCACACACAUGUCCUGGUUUCCCAGUGCAUAUAAAAGUUAUGUUUACACUAUACUGUAGUCUAUCAAGUAUACAAUAGCAUUAUGUCUUAAAAAGAACAAGUACAAGCUUAAUUUAAAUAUACUCACUUUGCUCAAGUCAGAGGAGAAAUAUCCUAUGACAUCCUUAUCUGCAGACAAUAAAAAAAAAGAGAUACAAAUGAACUUGUUUGCAAAAGGGAAACAGACCCCCCAGACUUUAGAGAAUGAACACAUGGUUGCUAGUAGGGGGAAAGAUGAGGGGAAGGGAUAGGUAGGGAGUUUGGGAUGGAAUUGUACACACUGCUACAUUUAAAAUGGAUAACUAAUAAGCAUCUACUAUAGAGCACCGGGAACUCUAUGUUAUGUGGCAGGCUGGAUGGGCGAGUCUGGGGGAGAAUGGAUACAUGUAUAUGUAUGGCUGAGUCCCUUUGCU
This 3578-nucleotide long non-coding RNA is filed under the name Capra hircus (goat). RNAcentral's name for it is "lncRNA (ENSCHIG00000004773.1)". The record is from RNAcentral. Lineage: Eukaryota; Metazoa; Chordata; Mammalia; Artiodactyla; Bovidae.